GUAUAGACCCGAAACCCGGUGAUCUAGCCAUGGGCAGGUUGAAGGUUGGGUAACACUAACUGGAGGACCGAACCGACUAAUGUUGAAAAAUUAGCGGAUGACCUGUGGCUGGGGGUGAAAGGCCAAUCAAACCGGGAGAUAGCUGGUUCUCCCCGAAAGCUAUUUAGGUAGCGCCUCGUGAACUCAUCUUCGGGGGUAGAGCACUGUUUCGGCUAGGGGGCCAUCCCGGCUUACCAACCCGAUGCAAACUACGAAUACCGAAGAAUGUUAUCACGGGAGACACACGGCGGGUGCUAACGUCCGUCGUGAAGAGGGAAACAACCCAGACCGCCAGCUAAGGUCCCAAAGUCAUGGUUAAGUGGGAAACGAUGUGGGAAGGCACAGACAGCCAGGAUGUUGGCUUAGAAGCAGCCAUCAUUUAAAGAAAGCGUAAUAGCUCACUGGUCGAGUCGGCCUGCGCGGAAGAUGUAACGGGGCUAAACCAUGCACCGAAGCUGCGGCAGCGACACUUAUGUGUUGUUGGGUAGGGGAGCGUUCUGUAAGCCGUUGAAGGUGUGCUGUGAGGCAUGCUGGAGGUAUCAGAAGUGCGAAUGCUGACAUAAGUAACGAUAAAGCGGGUGAAAAGCCCGCUCGCCGGAAGACCAAGGGUUCCUGUCCAACGUUAAUCGGGGCAGGGUGAGUCGACCCCUAAGGCGAGGCCGAAAGGCGUAGUCGAUGGGAAACAGGUUAAUAUUCCUGUACUUGGUGUUACUGCGAAGGGGGGACGGAGAAGGCUAUGUCAGCCGGGCGACGGUUGUCCCGGUUUAAGCAUGUAGGCGGAGGUUCCAGGUAAAUCCGGUACCUUGUUAACGCUGAGGUGUGAUGACGAGGCACUACGGUGCUGAAGUGAUAAAUGCCCUGCUUCCAGGAAAAGCCUCUAAGCAUCAGGUAACACGAAAUCGUACCCCAAACCGACACAGGUGGUCAGGUAGAGAAUACCAAGGCGCUUGAGAGAACUCGGGUGAAGGAACUAGGCAAAAUGGUGCCGUAACUUCGGGAGAAGGCACGCUGAUGUGUAGGUGAAGCCCCUGCGGGUGGAGCUGAAAUCAGUCGAAGAUACCAGCUGGCUGCAACUGUUUAUUAAAAACACAGCACUGUGCAAACACGAAAGUGGACGUAUACGGUGUGACGCCUGCCCGGUGCCGGAAGGUUAAUUGAUGGGGUUAGCGGCAACGCGAAGCUCUUGAUCGAAGCCCCGGUAAACGGCGGCCGUAACUAUAACGGUCCUAAGGUAGCGAAAUUCCUUGUCGGGUAAGUUCCGACCUGCACGAAUGGCGUAAUGAUGGCCAGGCUGUCUCCACCCGAGACUCAGUGAAAUUGAACUCGCUGUGAAGAUGCAGUGUACCCGCGGCAAGACGGAAAGACCCCGUGAACCUUUACUAUAGCUUGACACUGAACACUGGUCCUUGAUGUGUAGGAUAGGUGGGAGGCUUUGAAGCGUGGACGCCAGUCUGCGUGGAGCCAACCUUGAAAUACCACCCUUUAAUGGCUGGUGUUCUAACGUAGACCCGUAAUCCGGGUUGCGGACAGUGUCUGGUGGGUAGUUUGACUGGGGCGGUCUCCUCCCAAAGAGUAACGGAGGAGCACGAAGGUUGGCUAAUCCUGGUCGGACAUCAGGAGGUUAGUGCAAUGGCAUAAGCCAGCUUGACUGCGAGCGUGACGGCGCGAGCAGGUGCGAAAGCAGGUCAUAGUGAUCCGGUGGUUCUGAAUGGAAGGGCCAUCGCUCAACGGAUAAAAGGUACUCCGGGGAUAACAGGCUGAUACCGCCCAAGAGUUCAUAUCGACGGCGGUGUUUGGCACCUCGAUGUCGGCUCAUCACAUCCUGGGGCUGAAGUAGGUCCCAAGGGUAUGGCUGUUCGCCAUUUAAAGUGGUACGCGAGCUGGGUUUAGAACGUCGUGAGACAGUUCGGUCCCUAUCUGCCGUGGGCG
Molecule: ribosomal RNA, 1968 nt
Filed under: human gut metagenome
Description: bacterial LSU rRNA
Rfam family: Bacterial large subunit ribosomal RNA
Source: RNAcentral